AACCCCUAUCUUUAAUUGCCAUCAGUUCAGUUGGGCACUUUAGAGAGACUGCCGGUGUUAAGCCGGAGGAAGGUGGGAUGACGUCAAGUCCUCAUGGCCUUUAUGUCUAGGGCUACACACGUGCUACAAUGGGUGGUACAAAGAGCAGCUAACUCGCGAGAGUAUGCAAAUCUCAAAAAGCCAUCCUCAGUUCGGAUUGGAGUCUGCAACUCGACUCCAUGAAGUUGGAAUCGCUAGUAAUCGCGGAUCAGCAUGCCGCGGUGAAUACGUUCCCGGGCCUU
RNAcentral lists this ribosomal RNA (281 nucleotides) under uncultured Smithella sp. RNAcentral describes it as "partial 16S ribosomal RNA". It matches the Rfam family "Bacterial small subunit ribosomal RNA", at positions 1100 to 1382 of the family's 1533-position model. Lineage: Bacteria; Pseudomonadati; Thermodesulfobacteriota; Syntrophia; Syntrophales; Smithellaceae. The record is from RNAcentral.